Molecule: ribosomal RNA, 410 nt
Filed under: Mesobracon sp.
Lineage: Eukaryota; Metazoa; Arthropoda; Insecta; Hymenoptera; Braconidae
Description: partial 16S ribosomal RNA
Source: RNAcentral
GUCUUAAAGAAUAUUAAUUUUAAGUCUAAUCUGCCCAAUGAUUAAAUUAAAUGGCUGCAGUAAAUUAACUGUACAAAGGUAGCAUAAUAAUUUGUUUUUUAAUUAAAAACUAGAAUGAAAGAUUAAAUGAAAUAAAAACUGUUUCUUUUAAAUAAAUUAAAUUUUUUAUUUAAGUUAAAAAACUUAAAUAAAUUAUAAAGACGAUAAGACCCUAUAAAAUUUUAUUUUUUUAAUAUAUAAUUUUAUAUUAAAAAAAUUUUAUUGGGGUAAUAAAAAAAUUUAUUUAAUUUUUUUUUAAUACAACAUUAAUUAAUGAAUUUUUUAUCUUAAUUUUUAAAUUAAAAAAAUUAAUUACUUUAGGGAUAACAGCAUAAUUUUUUUUAAAAGAUCUUAUUAAUAAAAAAGAUUAU